This 18-nucleotide small nuclear RNA is filed under the name Arabidopsis thaliana (thale cress). Its description in RNAcentral is "snRNA_07149". Lineage: Eukaryota; Viridiplantae; Streptophyta; Magnoliopsida; Brassicales; Brassicaceae. The record is from RNAcentral.
AAAAAAAAAAAAACAAUA